AAGGAAAUAGUUUAAUCUUAGGACAAAUACUAUACUGCAAGUAUAGAGAUGAGAAACGAAUCUUUCCUUU
RNAcentral lists this transfer RNA (70 nucleotides) under Pessoaiella absita. RNAcentral's name for it is "tRNA-Cys". The record is from RNAcentral. Lineage: Eukaryota; Metazoa; Arthropoda; Insecta; Psocodea; Philopteridae.